CGUGGCUUCCGGAGCUAACGCGUUAAGUCGACCGCCUGGGGAGUACGGCCGCAAGGUUAAAACUCAAAUGAAUUGACGGGGGCCCGCACAAGCGGUGGAGCAUGUGGUUUAAUUCGAUGCAACGCGAAGAACCUUACCUGGUCUUGACAUCCACAGAACUUUCCAGAGAUGGAUUGGUGCCUUCGGGAACUGUGAGACAGGUGCUGCAUGGCUGUCGUCAGCUCGUGUUGUGAAAUGUUGGGUUAAGUCCCGCAACGAGCGCAACCCUUAUCCUUUGUUGCCAGCGGUCCGGCCGGGAACUCAAAGGAGACUGCCAGUGAUAAACUGGAGGAAGGUGGGGAUGACGUCAAGUCAUCAUGGCCCUUACGACCAGGGCUACACACGUGCUACAAUGGCGCAUACAAAGAGAAGCGACCUCGCGAGAGCAAGCGGACCUCAUAAAGUGCGUCGUAGUCCGGAUUGGAGUCUGCAACUCGACUCCAUGAAGUCGGAAUCGCUAGUAAUCGUGGAUCAGAAUGCCACGGUGAAUACGUUCCCGGGCCUUGUACACACCGCCCGUCACACCAUGGGAGUGGGUUGCAAAAGAAGUAGGUAGCUUAACCUUCGGGAGGGCGCUUACCACUUUGUGAUUCAUGACUGGGGUGA
This 645-nucleotide ribosomal RNA is filed under the name uncultured Escherichia sp. Its description in RNAcentral is "bacterial SSU rRNA". It matches the Rfam family "Bacterial small subunit ribosomal RNA", at positions 838 to 1483 of the family's 1533-position model. The record is from RNAcentral. Lineage: Bacteria; Pseudomonadati; Pseudomonadota; Gammaproteobacteria; Enterobacterales; Enterobacteriaceae.